CACUAUUAAUAAUGGUCGACUUAUCUCUUUUAUAUAUUUUUUUUAUUCUUAUGCCUAAGUUAGGCGUAAACUUAGCACCUUCUCCUAUUUCUUCUUCCUUCUCUACUCCACCUCAGUAAGUCAGUAUUUAGCCAGCUUACAGCUUUAUUAUACUAGCUCUAAGUAGUGCAGCAGCAAUCACUACAGCAACACGUGAGUACUGGAGUAACCGAACAACAGUAAACAAGACAAUCACCGCAGUAUCGAGCACAAUAAGGCCUUUAGAUGCUAAAAGUUUUUAAAGUUUAACACCGUAGCACUUUCGUUUAUAUCUGAUAAUUUUUGUUCAACUAUAGUGUGGGGGUAUAAACCCCUAUACCCUCAUGGGCCUAUAUGGGCCGCACCAUCAGAGGUGGCUCGGCCCAUAGGAUGAAGACGUGCGGCGCACGACUAGUCGGCAUGCACCGCAAGGCUACAAGAUAGUGUACCAAAUAUGAUACUUUGUUUGUAACUCUGUCCCUUCAGGAUAUAUAAGGAGGGGCAGGGGUCCCCUAGAGG
RNAcentral lists this long non-coding RNA (537 nucleotides) under Sorghum bicolor (sorghum). RNAcentral describes it as "long non-coding RNA (SBIC_LNC017260)". The record is from RNAcentral. Lineage: Eukaryota; Viridiplantae; Streptophyta; Magnoliopsida; Poales; Poaceae.